GACGAACCGUGCGAACGUUGUUCGGAUUCACUGGGCUUAAAGGGCGCGUAGGCGGGUCAGCAAGUCCGGGGUGAAAGCUUUCGGCUCAACCGGAAAAGGGCCUUGGAUACUGCUGGUCUGGAGGAAGGUAGGGGCGUGUGGAACUUCCGGUGGAGCGGUGAAAUGCGUAGAUAUCGAAAGGAACGCCGGUGGCGAAAGCGACACGCUGGACCUUUUCUGACGCUGAGGCGCGAAAGCCAGGGGAGCAAACGGG
This 253-nucleotide ribosomal RNA is filed under the name uncultured bacterium. RNAcentral describes it as "partial 16S ribosomal RNA". It matches the Rfam family "Bacterial small subunit ribosomal RNA", at positions 524 to 776 of the family's 1533-position model. The record is from RNAcentral.